CCUACGGGUGGCUGCAGUGGGGAAUAUUGCGCAAUGGGCGAAAGCCUGACGCAGCGACGCCGCGUGAGGGAUGAAGGCCUUCGGAUCGUAAACCUCUGUCAGCAGGGAAGAACGGUCACUGUGCUAAUCAGCAGUGAAUUGACGGUACCUGCAAAGGAAGCACCGGCUUACUCCGUGCCAGCAGCCGCGGUAAUAUGGAGGGUGCGAGCGUUAAUCGGAAUUAUUGGGGGGAAAGCGGUUGUAGGCGGGCUGCCAAGCCAAGGGUGAAAUUUCCGCGCUCAACGUGGGAACUGCCUUUGAAACUGGCGAACUUGAGUGUGUGAGAGGAGAGUGGAAUUCCAGGUGUAGGAGUGAAAUCCGUAGAUAUCUGGAGGAACAUCAGUGGCGAAGGCGACUAUCUGGCACAUAACUGACGCUGAGGAGCGAAAGCGUGGGUAGCAAACAGGAUUAGAUACCCUAGUAGUC
RNAcentral lists this ribosomal RNA (465 nucleotides) under uncultured bacterium. RNAcentral describes it as "partial 16S ribosomal RNA". It matches the Rfam family "Bacterial small subunit ribosomal RNA", at positions 338 to 795 of the family's 1533-position model. The record is from RNAcentral.